This 507-nucleotide ribosomal RNA is filed under the name Triticum aestivum (bread wheat). RNAcentral's name for it is "partial small subunit ribosomal RNA". The record is from RNAcentral. Lineage: Eukaryota; Viridiplantae; Streptophyta; Magnoliopsida; Poales; Poaceae.
AUCCCCACUGUGUGGAAGGCGCCGGUGCCCCUAAAAAUCAAGAUCUUCGUUUGGCAGUUUCUUCGUGAUCGUCUGCCCUCAGGGACCGAUGUUCUGAAACGUCACGGCCCAGGUGACGGUCAGUGCCCCCCUUGUCAUGUCUUGGAGACGGGAACCCACAUCAUGUUCUCGUGCAUAGUGGCGCGGGCUCUUUGGAGCUUCGUCCGCGAGGCACUAGGAUAUGAGCGGGAGGCACGGACCUUGCACAGUUCCUGCAGGCCAGAACGACACAGGUGGGCCGCAAGCACCGCCUUUUCUGGCUUAUGCGGUGAUGACGUGGACCUUUGGACGACGCGUAAUAAGAUGGUGAUUGAGCGGAUCUUCCUGAGACGGGCCUCUGACUCGUUCUUCAAAUUUCUUGCCUUCUUGCAGUUUUGGCACCCACUUGCUAGACAGCGGUAUCGUGACCACCUGGGGGUGAUGUUGGACAAGCUUAUGGCUUCCGCGCGCUGCCUGUCGGCUUCUUAG